CAGGAUACAAAAUCAAUGUACAGAAAUCAGCUGCAUUUCUAUACAACAAGAAUGAAGCAGCACAAAGAGAUAUAAAGGAAUGGAUCCCAUUUACAAUUUCACCAAAAAACAUAAGAUACCUAGGAAUAAACCUAUC
Lynx canadensis (Canada lynx) is the source of this 136-nucleotide long non-coding RNA. RefSeq lists it as uncharacterized. The transcript has 3 exons. NCBI's taxonomy places the organism in Eukaryota, Metazoa, Chordata, Mammalia, Carnivora, Felidae. The record is from RefSeq and is a predicted model, not a curated record.